Molecule: ribosomal RNA, 1436 nt
Filed under: metagenome
Description: bacterial SSU rRNA
Rfam family: Archaeal small subunit ribosomal RNA
Source: RNAcentral
UCCCGUUGAUCCUGCGGGAGGUUGCUGCUAUGAGGGUUCGACUUAACCAUGCAAGUCUAGGGGGCCUUCGGGUCACCGGCGAAAUGCUCAGUAACAUGUCGAUAAUCUGCCCUUAGGUUUGGGAUAACCUCGGGAAACUGAGGCUAACACCGAAUAUGAGAAUAUGACUGGAAUGUCUUUUCUCCAAAAAGUAAUGCCUAAGGAUGAGUCGGCACCUGAUUAGGUUGUUGGUGGGGUAACGGCCCACCAAGCUUACGAUCAGUAGGGGCCCUGAGAGGGGUAGCCCCGAGAAGGGUACUUAGACACUGACCCUAGCCCUACGGGGUGCAGCAGGUGCGGAACCUUUACAAUGCACGAAAGUGUGAUAAGGGAACCCUUAGUGCUUAUGCACUGCAUAGGCUUUUUCCAAGAGUAAGUAUCUUGGAGAAUAAGUGGUGGGUAAGACUGGUGCCAGCAGCCGCGGUAACACCAGCGCCACAAGUGGCAAUCACAAUUAUUGGGCCUAAAGCGUCCGUAGCCGGUCUUGUAAAUUCUUUGUGAAAUCGUCGGGCUCAACCCGACGAAUUGCAGAGAACACUGCAAGACUUGAGACCAGGAGGAGUCAGAGGUAUUCCAGGGGGAGCGGUAAAAUGCUAUAAUCCUUGGAGGACCACCUGUGGCGAAGGCGUCUGACCAGAAUGGUUCUGACGGUGAGGGACGAAAGCCAGGGGAGCAAACCGGAUUAGAUACCCGAGUAGUCCUGGCCGUAAACGCUGUGAGCUAGGUGUUGCAUAUUCUUCGCGAAUAUGCAGUAUCGAAGUGAAGACGAUAAGCUCACCGCCUGGGAAGUACGGUCGCAAGACUGAAACUUAAAGGAAUUGGCGGGGGAGCACCACAAGGGGUGCGGCGUGCGGUUUAAUCUAACUCCACACAGAGAAUCUCACUAGAGGCGACGGCAGUAUGAAGGUCAGUCUGAAGGGCUUACCCGACGAGCCGAGAGGUAGUGCAUGGCCGCCGUCAGCUCGUGCUGUGAGGUGUCCUGUUAAGUCAGGCAACGAGCGAGACCCAUAUCUACAAUUGCUAACAGAUCAGAAAUGAGGCCUGAGCACAUUGUAGGGACUGCCCGGGAAACUGGGAGGAAGGCGUGGGCCACGGUAGGUCUGUAUGCUCCGAAUCUUUUAGGCUACACGCGCGCAACAAUGGUUGGGACAAUGGGAUACAACUCCGAAAGGAGAAGUCAAACCUCUAAACCCAAUCUUAGUCCAGAUUGAGGGUUGUAACUCACCCUCAUGACGAUGGAAUCCCUAGUAAUCGGGUGUUAUCAGCGCCCGGUGAAUAUGUCCCUGCUCCUUGCACACACCGCCCGUCAAACCAUCCGAGCAGGGUUUAGAUGAGAACUAGUUAUUUGACUAGUGCGAAUCUAAGCUCAGUGAGGCGGGUUAAGUCGUCACAAGGUA